RNAcentral lists this ribosomal RNA (301 nucleotides) under uncultured bacterium. Its description in RNAcentral is "partial 16S ribosomal RNA". It matches the Rfam family "Bacterial small subunit ribosomal RNA", at positions 509 to 807 of the family's 1533-position model. The record is from RNAcentral.
CAGCAGCCACGGUAAUACAGAGGAUGCAAGCGUUAUCCGGAAUGAUUGGGCGUAAAGCGUGCGCAGGCGGUUUUGUAAGACAGGCGUGAAAUCCCCGGGCUCAACCUGGGAAUGGCGCUUGUGACUGCAAAGCUAGAGUGCGGCAGAGGGGGAUGGAGUUCCGCGUGUAGCAGUGAAAUGCGUAGAUAUGCGGAGGAACACCGAUGGCGAAGGCAAUCCCCUGGGCCUGCACUGACGCUCAUGCACGAAAGCGUGGGGAGCAAACAGGAUUAGAUACCCCUGUAGUCCCUGUCUCUUAUAC